Molecule: ribosomal RNA, 806 nt
Filed under: Candida tropicalis
Lineage: Eukaryota; Fungi; Ascomycota; Pichiomycetes; Serinales; Debaryomycetaceae
Description: LSU rRNA
Rfam family: Eukaryotic large subunit ribosomal RNA
Source: RNAcentral
AGUAGCGGCGAGUGAAGCGGCAAAAGCUCAAAUUUGAAAUCUGGCUCUUUCAGAGUCCGAGUUGUAAUUUGAAGAAGGUAUCUUUGGGUCUGGCUCUUGUCUAUGUUUCUUGGAACAGAACGUCACAGAGGGUGAGAAUCCCGUGCGAUGAGAUGAUCCAGGCCUAUGUAAAGUUCCUUCGAAGAGUCGAGUUGUUUGGGAAUGCAGCUCUAAGUGGGUGGUAAAUUCCAUCUAAAGCUAAAUAUUGGCGAGAGACCGAUAGCGAACAAGUACAGUGAUGGAAAGAUGAAAAGAACUUUGAAAAGAGAGUGAAAAAGUACGUGAAAUUGUUGAAAGGGAAGGGCUUGAGAUCAGACUUGGUAUUUUGUAUGUUACUUCUUCGGGGGUGGCCUCUACAGUUUAUCGGGCCAGCAUCAGUUUGGGCGGUAGGAGAAUUGCGUUGGAAUGUGGCACGGCUUCGGUUGUGUGUUAUAGCCUUCGUCGAUACUGCCAGCCUAGACUGAGGACUGCGGUUUAUACCUAGGAUGUUGGCAUAAUGAUCUUAAGUCGCCCGUCUUGAAACACGGACCAAGGAGUCUAACGUCUAUGCGAGUGUUUGGGUGUAAAACCCGUACGCGUAAUGAAAGUGAACGUAGGUGGGGGCCCGUAUGGGUGCACCAUCGACCGAUCCUGAUGUCUUCGGAUGGAUUUGAGUAAGAGCAUAGCUGUUGGGACCCGAAAGAUGGUGAACUAUGCCUGAAUAGGGUGAAGCCAGAGGAAACUCUGGUGGAGGCUCGUAGCGGUUCUGACGUGCAAAUCGAUCGUCG